GAUGACUCUGCCAUCUAUUAACUAGAUUAAUUUCCCUUCAAAGCGAUCCAGAUAUCCCCCAGCUCUGGCUGUGCACUGCUCUGCUCUGGCAGAGUUCCCAGCUCCCCAGUGUGUGUGUUUUAGGGGCUGCCCACGUGUUACACGGAUGGGCGCUUCCUUUGCACUCCCAACCACGUCUGUGCCCCAGCAGCACACACACUUGCUCAUCCUGGCUUUUGCUCUCUCGCAGUGGGAAUGGUGCCCGGACACCGCUCGUCUUUUCAUGCAGGAAAUUUCCAAGGCUUGCGUGGCUUCCACACUUCACAAAUAAAUCCACUAAGACUUCUCACUUCCAGAAAUGGCAGCUGGCUGCCUGGGACAGUUAUUUAUAGUAACAGAGUUAAAUCAGAACAAAAUGUGUUUUGUUUUUAUUUGUAACACUGUGAACAGCGUGAUAACAAUGCCAACCAGCAAGCAUCAGCUUGUAGAAUGAUCCAGAAGUGUACUGGUUUGUUACGGGAGCGAGCCUAGGCCAUGGGGCCUGGCUGUCCCCUGGGGAACGCUGCAGCCCUCAGCAUAGGUGCAGGGAACACCUGGAGGCUCCUCAAGCCUUGUUCGGAGCAGAUGCAAUUGGGCAGCAGUGCCGUGCUCCUGCUCGCAGCAGAACUGCAGCUUCGCUCCACGCAGAGGCCGCUGGACUUCUGCCACCAGGCAGACUUCUGAUAGCAAUCCUUCUGGCAGGGCCUCGCGGGGCUGCGGCUCAAGGUGAGGGGCAGUGGGCGCAGUGGUAACAAAUGAAAUAUAUCACAAAGUGUGCCAUGUUAAUAUUGUGCUCUGUUCUGUGGAGCUGGAAGAAAAGAACUAACUCAGUUGCGUAGUUAGCUGCAAAGCACCAAACACGACUAGCACAGGGAAGCGUACAGAUGUUUUGCAGUGACUGACAGAAACAGAAAAGACCAAUGCAAGAUUCAGCAUCAGAAAUUCCCCACGACACCAGGGGCGUGACCCUACCCUUGGCAAUGGGUAAAAUGCUGGAGGACGAUGAUUUAGCAUAUUCUGAUAGACGCACAAUGAAGCUGGGGAAGAUGUUUGGCAUGCCAAGUAAAAGUUAGGGAGGGGUGCAAACGGGGCAUCCAGGACAUGAGAGCAAUGCGAGGGUUUCCCUCGGGGCUGGUGUGAGACGAGCAGCAUGUUUGAAGAUAAUAUGGAAAUGAGAGGAGAAUUGCCAUCAAGCAAUUGCAAGUCAAGCAAAGCUUCUACUUAUGCUUGAGACAGUGGAAAACUUUUAAAAUUUGAUUCUGCCAAGCUAUAACUACUCCCGGAGUUAAUAAUCUUCUGGGGCACGCUCCUGGGAAUUGAGUGGUUUUCCUUUUCAGAAGUUUGUUUCAGAAGUUAAUUGCAAAAUUCUGAGUUGAAUUAUUUAUAAACAUACGAAAGGUGGUUAAGCAUUCACUAAUGACGGGCUUUUUCACAAUCCGGUGAAUGAGCUGAUAUGUAAUCUUUGUUUUUACUAUGAUUAAAACACACACACAAAUGUCACAGUCACAAGGUGAACAUUAAAUUUUUUUCCUCCAAGUCUGAAAUAUAUCUUUAUUCCUAGGAAUCUGGACAGAUGUUUAAAAGUGGUAGGAGGGCUACUACUUAAUUACCAUGAGAUCCGCAUUUCAUCGUGUUAAUGAAAUAAAAGUUACUUCGUUACCA
Anser brachyrhynchus (Pink-footed goose) is the source of this 1680-nucleotide long non-coding RNA. Lineage: Eukaryota; Metazoa; Chordata; Aves; Anseriformes; Anatidae. The record is from Ensembl.